This 1123-nucleotide long non-coding RNA is filed under the name Equus caballus (horse). RNAcentral describes it as "lncRNA (ENSECAG00000054043.1)". Lineage: Eukaryota; Metazoa; Chordata; Mammalia; Perissodactyla; Equidae. The record is from RNAcentral.
CUAAAUGCUGGCUUCUCCAAGCCUCCCUUCUCCUUGCUGCCUCUUCUCAUCCUCUCUGCUUUCACUCCAAGGGUUGCAGCAGCCCCUCCGCCUGAUGACUUCCAGAUUGCCACCCCGACCUUGUAGCCAUCACCCUCGGGAUGGCCACAGACCCCUCAGAUUCAGAGGCCCCCAGCUCUGCUCCUCUCUGCAGCCCGAGAUGCUCUCUCCUCUUCCUUUUCCAUCGAAUCCGCGCUCCCCCUCUGCUACCUUCCACCCUCUUCCACCCAUGCUGCAGAAGUGGCAGGCUAAGCGAGGGCCAGAGGCUUGCUUCUGCGGGCUCUUUCCCCUCUGGAAGGUCGUUCGCAAGACCUGGCUGCAUCAGGCCUGUCCCACUUGUCCCACUUAAUGUGACGGGAUCCGGGGAUGUAGGAGUCUCGUUCUGGGUAAGACUUGGUGGUUUUAAAACUCAGGCUCAGAUUUGACUCCAAACUUUUUUCUUCCUCCACGAGGGGCAUGGAGUCUGCCGGCGGCCCUCUCUGUGGUAAUACUGCGCUGUGCAGUGACCUCUGGACAAAGAUUCCUAUCAAGACCUCCCCCCGUGCUGUUACCCCUCCCUGACCAACUGCGUCUUCGCAGGAACCCAGAAGUCCAGGAGUCAUCCCAGCCGUCUCCCUCAUCUUUUCCCUGCCCCACGACGUCUCCUUAGUUGUCAGACCCACUUCUCUGCUCCCAGUCCUGUGGGGCCCCAUCCUCUCUCCCUGGACAUCGGCACUCCCCUCACUGGUUUCCCUGCCCCAGUUCCUUCCACCAAUGGAGCAACCUUUCUAAAACUCCCAAAACUUUAGUCUUAGUUAUAUCCCUCCCCCAACAUCCUCUGAUGGCUCCCUAGUACCUGAAGAAUAUUCCAGCUCCUUUUUCCCGCAUUCUAGGCCUCUCAGUUUGAACCCCAGCCUCAUCUCUAGCACUUGCACCCACUGCUUAGACCCCCAUGGCAAAUAGAUUUCAUCUACUUUGCAGCUGACAAUUGGUCAUGACUGGCCCCCAGCACAGUGUUGAGGGCUGUGAGGUUGAAUCACUGGGAAGGAGAGUGCUGGAAUCAACUAGUGAUGCCUGCCAUGGGCCCAGGAGUGGCAGAGCUGCA